GUAGAAGGCAAACGUUAUUCGGAAUUACUGGGCGUAAAGCGGGGUGUAGACGGGCUUUUUAAGUCGGAUGUGAAAUCUCUUAACUUAAUUGAGAGAGGUCAUUCGAUACUAUUAAGCUUGAGGACGGCAGAGGAAGGCGGAACUCCCGGUGUAGCGGUGAUAUGCGUAGAUAUCGGGAGGAACACCAGUGGCGAAGGCGGCCUUCUAGUCCGUUCCUGACGUUGAGGCCCAAAAGCGUGGGGAGCGAAACGGAUUAGAUACCCGUGUAGUCCACGCUGUAAACGUUGGAUACUAGGUAUAGGGGGUAUCGACCCUCUCUGUGCCGAAGCUAACGCUUUAAGUAUCCCGCCUGGGGACUACGGCCGCAAAGGCUA
This 374-nucleotide ribosomal RNA is filed under the name uncultured organism. RNAcentral describes it as "partial 16S ribosomal RNA". It matches the Rfam family "Bacterial small subunit ribosomal RNA", at positions 527 to 896 of the family's 1533-position model. The record is from RNAcentral.